This is a non-coding RNA of Parasteatoda tepidariorum (common house spider), 877 nucleotides long. NCBI's taxonomy places the organism in Eukaryota, Metazoa, Arthropoda, Arachnida, Araneae, Theridiidae. The record is from RefSeq and is a predicted model, not a curated record.
AUCAGCACACUUAUUUUUUCUUUUCACGAAUAUUAUAAGAUAAUUUUAAAAAAUCGUGUAUUUUCUGAAAAUUCAUUAAAAACUAAUAUCAUUAUUAAAUGAAAAUUUAUUCCUCUUAUCACCAUCUGUUCGUUGAAAUUUAGCGCCAUCUGGCAAUGAUUUGAUAAACUUUCUAUCCAAAGCCGAAAAUCUCGCAGUCAGUUGUAAAGGGAUAGGUUUGCACCAUUUGGCAACUUUUCGCUGUUUACAACUGGCUGAGGCGUCAACAAUUUCGAACCGCGCAUGCGCAGUUGCUCAGCCGCUUGUACCCACAGACGCAAGUAAUCCUCUAUGCAAGUAACAAAAUAUGUAAACACACCAUGGUAACAAUUGCUGUAAAAAACCUAUUUGACUAACAGUAUUUUAAUUUGAUUUGGAAGCUUAGAAUAAAAAACUAUUUUUGGUCAUAUUUUAUUUCUUCAAGUUUUAUGCAAUUCAAGCGUCAAAUUUAAUUCUGAUAAUGGAAAGUCGAGAUAAAGAACAUCUUUUGGCCUUAAAAGUUUUAAUAUAACGGCCCUCACCUGCUCCAGGGACUGCUGGAUUGGGUUCAAAAUGACAAUGCUACGGAGUUGAAUAUUAGUAGCAGGGUUGCCACAGGCGACUAAAAUGCAACUAUUUUUGGCAUAAGGCGACUAUGGCAACUUUUUUUGCCUGAAAAGGCUAAAAACAGCAACUAUUUUCAAGAAAAGGAGACUAUUGGGAGACUUUUCUGUACUACUAGAGAUUUUUUUUUCAAGCAUAAAUUGGUGAAAAAUCUGCGCCCCACUAGAUAGUUCCUGAACACACUAAACUUUUUUUUCUUAGAAAAUAAAAAAUGUUAAAAAUUUUGAAUUGCAAA